GCUCUAAUAGUAUAACUAUUACCUUGGUCUUGUAAACCAAAAAUGAAGACCCCAUCUUCUUAGGGCA
This 67-nucleotide transfer RNA is filed under the name Sundasciurus jentinki (Jentink's squirrel). Its description in RNAcentral is "tRNA-Thr". The record is from RNAcentral. Lineage: Eukaryota; Metazoa; Chordata; Mammalia; Rodentia; Sciuridae.